This 409-nucleotide ribosomal RNA is filed under the name bacterium enrichment culture clone ALO1_GLFRUDD03FZU3V. RNAcentral describes it as "bacterial SSU rRNA". It matches the Rfam family "Bacterial small subunit ribosomal RNA", at positions 9 to 416 of the family's 1533-position model. The record is from RNAcentral.
GAGUUUGAUCGUGGCUCAGAUUGAACGCUGGCGGCAUGCCUUACACAUGCAAGUCGAACGGCAGCACGGGAGCUUGCUCCUGGUGGCGAGUGGCGAACGGGUGAGUAAUGCAUCGGAACGUAUCCUGGAGUGGGGGGAUAACGUAGCGAAAGUUACGCUAAUACCGCAUAUUCUGUGAGCAGGAAAGCGGGGGACCUUCGGGGCCUCGCGCUCUUGGAGCGGCCGAUGUCGGAUUAGCUAGUUGGUGAGGUAAAGGCUCACCAAGGCGACGAUCCGUAGCAGGUCUGAGAGGAUGAUCUGCCACACUGGAACUGGGACACGGUCCAGACUCCUACGGGAGGCAGCAGUGGGGAAUUUUGGACAAUGGGGGCAACCCUGAUCCAGCCAUGCCGCGUGAGUGAAGAAGGCC